GACACUCCUACGGGAGGCAGCAGUGGGGAAUAUUGCACAAUGGGCGCAAGCCUGAUGCAGCCAUGCCGCGUGUGUGAAGAAGGCCUUCGGGUUGUAAAGCACUUUCAGUCGUGAGGAAGGUGGUAGUGUUAAUAGCACUAUCAUUUGACGUUAGCGACAGAAGAAGCACCGGCUAACUCCGUGCCAGCAGCCGCGGUAAUACGGAGGGUGCGAGCGUUAAUCGGAAUUACUGGGCGUAAAGCGCAUGCAGGUGGUUUGUUAAGUCAGAUGUGAAAGCCCCGGGGCUCAACCUCGGAAUAGCAUUUGAAACUGGCAGACUAGAGUACUGUAGAGGGGGUAGAAUUUCAGGUGUAGCGGUGAAAUGCGUAGAGAUCUGAAGGAAUACCGGUGGCGAAGGCGGCCCCCUGGACAGAUACUGACACUCAGAUGCGAAAGCGUGGGGAGCAAACAGGAUUAGAUACCCUGGUAG
RNAcentral lists this ribosomal RNA (469 nucleotides) under uncultured bacterium. RNAcentral's name for it is "bacterial SSU rRNA". It matches the Rfam family "Bacterial small subunit ribosomal RNA", at positions 332 to 793 of the family's 1533-position model. The record is from RNAcentral.